GUUGUUGCGGUUAAAAAGCUCGUAGUUGGGAGUCUGCCAAGGACGACCGGUCCACCCUUGGGGUGAGUAUCUGGCUUGACUGGGGCAUAUUCUUGGGCAGCGUGGCUGCACUUGACUGUGUGAUGCGAUAUCCAAGACGUUUACUUUGAGGAAAUUAGUGUGUUUCAUGCAGGCCCACGCCUUGGAUACCUUAGCAUGGAAUAAUAAGACAGGGCCUUGGUUCCAUUUUGUUGGCUUCUAGAACUGAGUUAAUGACAAAUAGGGAUACUUGGGGGCAUGCGAAUUUGAUUGUCAGAGGUGAAAUUCUUGAAUUUGUCAAAGGCGGACUACUGUGAAAGCAUUUGCCAAGAAUGUUUUCAUUGAUCAAGAAUGAAAGUUAGGGGGUCGAAGAUGAUCAGAUACCGUCUUAGUCUUAACCAUAAACUAUGCCAACUAGAGAUUGGAGUUUGCUGUCUACACGACUCCUUCAGCACCUUUUGGGAAAUCAAAGUCUUUGGGUUCCGGGGGGAGUAUGGUUGCAAGGCUGAAACUUAAAGGAAUUGACGGAAGGGCACCACCAGGAGUGGAGCCUGCGGCUUAAUUUGACUCAACACGGGAAAACUUACCAGGUCCAGACAUAGAAAGGAUUGACAGAUUGAUAGCUCCUUCUUGAUUAUGUGGGUGGUGGUGCAUGGCCGUUCUUAGUUGGUGGAAUGAUUUGUCUGGUUAAUUCCGUUAACGAACGAGACCUUAUCCUGCUAAAUAGAUUUGCAUAGCCAUGGUUAUGGGGGAACUUCUUAGAGGGACUUUGUGUGUGUAAUGCGAGGAAGCUUGAGGCAAUAACAGGUCUGUGAUGCCCUUAGAUGUUCUGGGCUGCACGCGCGCUACACUGAUGAUCUCAACAAGUGUGUAACACUGCCUGAACGGGUUGGGUAAUCUUU
RNAcentral lists this ribosomal RNA (920 nucleotides) under uncultured marine eukaryote. Its description in RNAcentral is "SSU rRNA". It matches the Rfam family "Eukaryotic small subunit ribosomal RNA", at positions 609 to 1554 of the family's 1831-position model. The record is from RNAcentral.